RNAcentral lists this ribosomal RNA (105 nucleotides) under Pectobacterium carotovorum subsp. carotovorum. The record is from RNAcentral. Lineage: Bacteria; Pseudomonadati; Pseudomonadota; Gammaproteobacteria; Enterobacterales; Pectobacteriaceae.
GCGAUAGCGCGGUGGUCCCACCUGACCCCAUGCCGAACUCAGAAGUGAAACGCCGUAGCGCCGAUGGUAGUGUGGGGCUUCCCCAUGUGAGAGUAGGGAACUGCC